UCUCCUGGAAACGGGUGGUAAUGCCGGAUGCUCCAUCACACCGCAUGGUGUGUUGGGAAAGCCUUUGCGGCAUGGGAUGGGGUCGCGUCCUAUCAGCUUGAUGGCGGGGUAACGGCCCACCAUGGCUUCGACGGGUAGCCGGCCUGAGAGGGCGACCGGCCACAUUGGGACUGAGAUACGGCCCAGACUCCUACGGGAGGCAGCAGUGGGGAAUAUUGCACAAUGGGCGCAAGCCUGAUGCAGCGACGCCGCGUGAGGGAUGGAGGCCUUCGGGUUGUAAACCUCUUUUGUUAGGGAGCAAGGCAUUUUGUGUUGAGUGUACCUUUCGAAUAAGCACCGGCUAACUACGUGCCAGCAGCCGCGGUAAUACGUAGGGUGCAAGCGUUAUCCGGAAUUAUUGGGCGUAAAGGGCUCGUAGGCGGUUCGUCGCGUCCGGUGUGAAAGUCCAUCGCUUAACGGUGGAUCCGCGCCGGGUACGGGCGGGCUUGAGUGCGGUAGGGGAGACUGGAAUUCCCGGUGUAACGGUGGAAUGUGUAGAUAU
This 541-nucleotide ribosomal RNA is filed under the name Bifidobacterium breve. RNAcentral's name for it is "bacterial SSU rRNA". It matches the Rfam family "Bacterial small subunit ribosomal RNA", at positions 146 to 697 of the family's 1533-position model. Lineage: Bacteria; Bacillati; Actinomycetota; Actinomycetes; Bifidobacteriales; Bifidobacteriaceae. The record is from RNAcentral.